This 484-nucleotide ribosomal RNA is filed under the name uncultured bacterium. RNAcentral describes it as "partial 16S ribosomal RNA". It matches the Rfam family "Bacterial small subunit ribosomal RNA", at positions 30 to 507 of the family's 1533-position model. The record is from RNAcentral.
AUUGAACGCUGGCGGCAGGCCUAACACAUGCAAGUCGAGCGGAUGAAGGGAGCUUGCUCCUGGAUUCAGCGGCGGACGGGUGAGUAAUGCCUAGGAAUCUGCCUGGCAGUGGGGGAUAACGUCCGGAAACGGGCGCUAAUACCGCAUACGUCCUGAGGGAGCAAGUGGGGGAUCUUCGGACCUCACGCUAUCAGAUGAGCCUAGGUCGGAUUAGCUAGUUGGUGGGGUAAAGGCCUACCAAGGCGACGAUCCGUAACUGGUCUGAGAGGAUGAUCAGUCACACUGGAACUGAGACACGGUCCAGACUCCUACGGGAGGCAGCAGUGGGGAAUAUUGGGCAAUGGGCGAAAGCCUGAUCCAGCCAUGCCGCGUGUGUGAAGAAGGUCUUCGGAUUGUAAAGCACUUUAAGUUGGGAGGAAGGGCAGUAAGUUAAUACCUUGCUGUUUUGACGUUACCAACAGAAUAAGCACCGGCUAACUUCGUG